Phyllostomus hastatus (greater spear-nosed bat) is the source of this 310-nucleotide long non-coding RNA. RefSeq lists it as uncharacterized. The record is from RefSeq and is a predicted model, not a curated record. Lineage: Eukaryota; Metazoa; Chordata; Mammalia; Chiroptera; Phyllostomidae. The transcript has 3 exons.
GGAAGGGGCCUCUGGGUGGCAGCUCUGGGCUAUUGGGUGUUGGACAACUAUAGGCAAAACUGAAAUGGAACAGGGGCAGAAAAUAGCACACUUUUACGCUACGCAACCGUGGCUUUCGCAUGAUCUUCAAGAAUUUUACUGGGAUAAUUAUCCAAGUGAAACUCCAAGAAUUCUAUCCAAAUGGUGGAGGCACCAAGAAGAGGGAUUAGCAACUUGUCCAAGGUCACACAGCCAAUAAAUGGUCUUGCUUUCUUAGGAAUGUCACAAUUUGGUCCCAGAAUCCCACGAUUUUCACAGCUUUGGACUUUCU